GGGGGUGAAUUAGGUUCGACAGGGAUCUUGUUCAUCUAAGUCGCAGGUCGGAGUUGGCCGAAGGCUCCGUUACUAAUCGGCCAAAACAAACAAGCCAACGAACAAUUGGCACUUGCUGCUUAAUUAGCAGUAGCGUUCCCCUUAAGACACCUGCUAUUAGGGAUGGAACGUCGAAAGCAGGCUCGUUCUACUCUGCUUGCCUUGUCGGAGUAGGGCCAGAAAAUAACAGGGCUUGUGAACAGGUGGUUCAGUUUAGAGACAACCUGUUUACGAGAACAACUCUAAACUAAACCUGUAGUGGCUUUGAUGUCAAAUUCUUGGACACGGGUGCAAUUCCCGUCACCUCCACCA
Molecule: transfer-messenger RNA, 351 nt
Filed under: Elusimicrobia
Lineage: Bacteria; Pseudomonadati; Elusimicrobiota
Also listed under: 4 other names
Description: 2-02-FULL-39-32 sp001800135 Standard tmRNA
Rfam family: transfer-messenger RNA
About the family: Bacterial tmRNA, also known as 10Sa RNA or SsrA, is named for its dual tRNA and mRNA-like properties. Its role is to liberate the mRNA from a stalled ribosome.
Source: RNAcentral